Molecule: ribosomal RNA, 49 nt
Filed under: Apiospora marii
Lineage: Eukaryota; Fungi; Ascomycota; Sordariomycetes; Amphisphaeriales; Apiosporaceae
Description: Arthrinium marii partial 28S ribosomal RNA
Source: RNAcentral
UUGACCUCGGGAUCAGGUAGGAAUACCCGCUGAACUUAAGCAUAUCAAA